RNAcentral lists this ribosomal RNA (496 nucleotides) under uncultured bacterium. RNAcentral describes it as "partial 16S ribosomal RNA". It matches the Rfam family "Bacterial small subunit ribosomal RNA", at positions 28 to 507 of the family's 1533-position model. The record is from RNAcentral.
GAUGAACGCUGGCGGCGUGCCUAUACCUGCCAGUCGCGCGAACAGGCGAGGAGCUUGCUCCUCUGACGUUAGCGGCGGACGGGUGAGUAACACGUGGAUAACCUACCUAUAAGACUGGGAUAACUUCGGGAAACCGGAGCUAAUACCGGAUAAUAUAUUGAACCGCAUGGUUCAAUAGUGAAAGACGGUUUUGCUGUCACUUAUAGAUGGAUCCGCGCCGCAUUAGCUAGUUGGUAAGGUAACGGCUUACCAAGGCAACGAUGCGUAGCCGACCUGAGAGGGUGAUCGGCCACACUGGAACUGAGACACGGUCCAGACUCCUACGGGAGGCAGCAGUAGGGAAUCUUCCGCAAUGGGCGAAAGCCUGACGGAGCAACGCCGCGUGAGUGAUGAAGGUCUUCGGAUCGUAAAACUCUGUUAUUAGGGAAGAACAAAUGUGUAAGUAACUAUGCACGUCUUGACGGUACCUAAUCAGAAAGCCACGGCUAACUACGUG